This 1017-nucleotide ribosomal RNA is filed under the name Escherichia coli. RNAcentral's name for it is "bacterial SSU rRNA". It matches the Rfam family "Bacterial small subunit ribosomal RNA", at positions 153 to 1166 of the family's 1533-position model. Lineage: Bacteria; Pseudomonadati; Pseudomonadota; Gammaproteobacteria; Enterobacterales; Enterobacteriaceae. The record is from RNAcentral.
GAAACGGUAGCUAAUACCGCAUAACGUCGCAAGACCAAAGAGGGGGACCUUCGGGCCUCUUGCCAUCGGAUGUGCCCAGAUGGGAUUAGCUAGUAGGUGGGGUAAAGGCUCACCUAGGCGACGAUCCCUAGCUGGUCUGAGAGGAUGACCAGCCACACUGGAACUGAGACACGGUCCAGACUCCUACGGGAGGCAGCAGUGGGGAAUAUUGCACAAUGGGCGCAAGCCUGAUGCAGCCAUGCCGCGUGUAUGAAGAAGGCCUUCGGGUUGUAAAGUACUUUCAGCGGGGAGGAAGGGAGUAAAGUUAAUACCUUUGCUCAUUGACGUUACCCGCAGAAGAAGCACCGGCUAACUCCGUGCCAGCAGCCGCGGUAAUACGGAGGGUGCAAGCGUUAAUCGGAAUUACUGGGCGUAAAGCGCACGCAGGCGGUUUGUUAAGUCAGAUGUGAAAUCCCCGGGCUCAACCUGGGAACUGCAUCUGAUACUGGCAAGCUUGAGUCUCGUAGAGGGGGGUAGAAUUCCAGGUGUAGCGGUGAAAUGCGUAGAGAUCUGGAGGAAUACCGGUGGCGAAGGCGGCCCCCUGGACGAAGACUGACGCUCAGGUGCGAAAGCGUGGGGAGCAAACAGGAUUAGAUACCCUGGUAGUCCACGCCGUAAACGAUGUCGACUUGGAGGUUGUGCCCUUGAGGCGUGGCUUCCGGAGCUAACGCGUUAAGUCGACCGCCUGGGGAGUACGGCCGCAAGGUUAAAACUCAAAUGAAUUGACGGGGGCCCGCACAAGCGGUGGAGCAUGUGGUUUAAUUCGAUGCAACGCGAAGAACCUUACCUGGUCUUGACAUCCACGGAAGUUUUCAGAGAUGAGAAUGUGCCUUCGGGAACCGUGAGACAGGUGCUGCAUGGCUGUCGUCAGCUCGUGUUGUGAAAUGUUGGGUUAAGUCCCGCAACGAGCGCAACCCUUAUCCUUUGUUGCCAGCGGUCCGGCCGGGAACUCAAAGGAGACUGCCAGUGAUAAACUGG